GCGGAAAUAGCUCAGUUCGUAGAGCAUAACCUUGCCAAGGUUAGGGUCGCGAGUUCGAGUCUCGUUUUCCGCU
Molecule: transfer RNA, 73 nt
Filed under: Phocaeicola vulgatus
Lineage: Bacteria; Pseudomonadati; Bacteroidota; Bacteroidia; Bacteroidales; Bacteroidaceae
Description: Bacteroides vulgatus tRNA-Gly
Rfam family: tRNA
About the family: Transfer RNA (tRNA) molecules are approximately 80 nucleotides in length.
Source: RNAcentral